GGUGACCAUAAAGUUUGGAGGGUGGGGGUGUAAUGAACAGGAAAUAGCUGCUGUCUUUGGCUUUAAUUGUUUGUUGUUUACUUGAUGUUUUCAACUCAGCAGAUCACAGAACUAGAAUAUACUGUACAUCGAGUUUCUAGAAGCAUCGGGUUUCCAGAAGCAUCGCGACUUGAGCUGCAAGUGAUAAUACACUAGCUGCUUUGAGAUGGAUUUGAGACUUUCUCCCUCCCUUUUCACCCUUCUCUCCUCUUCCCACCUCUUCCUGAUAAACAGAUUAUUUAGGGAUUCACAAGCAGCCAGUUGAGCCUGCGCUGCUCUUGUGUACUGUGUGCUGCUGCAUUAGGCUUAGAGCCACAAAGCAGACAGAUGGCUGAGGAGAGCCAGGGGGAUCUCAUUACACGGUCUUAAUAAGGCGCUCCAGAGACGAGCAGGUAGAGACCAAGCCUGAGUGACCCACCUUUUCCUGCUUGUACUUCUUACAUCCGUUUGAGGAAAUCUAGAAUGUCUGGAACAAUUUCUGAAUGAUCAUGGAGAAAGAGGAAGAGGAGGAGGAACUUUUCACAGAGUGGCCUGCUGAAGAAAGAGAGCAGGAGAGCACAGAGGAUGAGGAUGAUGAAAAGGAGAUGGAGACCGAGAGGGAAAAAAGCGGGUUGGAUAUCCUCAGGCCAAGUGUUUCACUGGCCAAUCGCAGAGCGUCCCUUCCGUGUCCGACCCAGCUGAGUGCUAUGCAUUUGACUCAUUUGACUCAUCUGACUCACCUGCACAUGACCACCAUGGCUCCAAGCCCAGUCGGCAUGAGGCACAGGCUCAAAGAUGGCGAAGCAAGGAAGCAAGGUCUUCACUCUCAGCACGACCGAAACCAGGAUGAGGACAACGAAUCCAAGCUUGAGAAAUGGCCAUCUGCCAUCCCAAACUUACUUCAUGUCCCAGAAAAGCGGAGACGCUUCAGGAGCCGCAACGUUAUAUCACUAAGUGACGCAGACAGCAUGUGUCUGAUUUGCCAUGAUGAUCUGUGCAGAAGAGGAGGAACCAUCUGGGAACUGCACUGUUCACACAACUUCCACAGUGAGUGUAUACAGGAGUGGUUGUGGAUGAAGCAGACUUGCCCGAUAUGUCAUAAGCGCAUGGCUAUGCCCGAGCCUCUGUACUGGACAUCCGCUCGUGUCAAAGUGCCCUAAUGCUUCACUACCACCUAUCUAAAUCUGUUAGAAUGAAGAAAUUGGACUGUCCAUCCACAGAUCAAUGGAUUUUAAUCUGUUGAAAUAAAUGAUGUGUAAUGGGAUUGCACAAGACUUCAGUAAAUCCUGCAGAUCAACUGUCAACAGCUCCACUACAGACUUCUAAUAAAAGUUGUUAUUUAGUUACUACUGCUAUAAGCCAAACUGACUUGAAUUAAGCUCUAAAACUCUGAGGAGACAUUGGCAGGUCCAGACUCCAGACAUUCCACAAUGUUAUCUAUAUACCCUUCCAAUUAGUUUCAUUGUUUUACUUCAUAAAAUAGUUCAGUGGGUUUAAUCUGAAGCUCAGUACUUUCAAUGAAACUACAAAUUACAUGAAAAGGGUUCUAUUUAGCCACAAAAGUCUUGUAGGAGUUUCAAAAUUAGGACCCACUUCAGGUUAAUACACUUUAUUUUGAUAUCCUGUCUGUCAUCUGUGGGAAGCCAUUUAAACUGAAUGCCAAUAAAAUAUCUGUGUGUAAAAGUCUGUAUGCAGAUUUACCCCAAAGAUUCUGCUGUUUGAAAGUAAAAUCUGAGGGAAAAGCUAUUCCAUAUUAACCUGUGUUGCAUGUUGCUCCAAUCUUUGUGUGUUAAUUAACUUGGCAAAGUUAAAAAAUAAAAAUAAAAAAUUGCCGCAGCAUGAAAACAAUAUUUUGAAUCUACAUUUUAAUCCAGUUUAGGUUUGAGGGGAAAUAUUCAGCAGUUAACAAGCACAUAUGGGCAUGAUGGUUAGGUGUCCUCAUAUUUUUGGUCAUGUUGUGUAAUAUGGGAUUACUAUUGUUUUUCAGGAAUUUAUAUGUACUAAGGCUAUACACAUGGACUAUUU
This is a long non-coding RNA of Ictalurus punctatus (channel catfish), 2043 nucleotides long. Lineage: Eukaryota; Metazoa; Chordata; Actinopteri; Siluriformes; Ictaluridae. The record is from Ensembl.